UCUUGGUUCUGGCAUCGAUGAAGAACGCAGCGAAAUGCGAUAAGUAGUGUGAAUUGCAGAAUUCAGUGAAUCAUCGAAUCUUUGAACGCACAUUGCGCCCCUUGGUAUUCCAUGGGGCAUGCCUGUUCGAGCGUCAUUUGUACCUUCAAGCUCUGCU
RNAcentral lists this ribosomal RNA (157 nucleotides) under Scytalidium lignicola. Its description in RNAcentral is "5.8S ribosomal RNA". The stretch from base 1 to 136 matches the Rfam family "5.8S ribosomal RNA", at positions 19 to 154 of the family's 154-position model. From Rfam's summary of the family: 5.8S ribosomal RNA (5.8S rRNA) is a component of the large subunit of the eukaryotic ribosome. It is transcribed by RNA polymerase I as part of the 45S precursor that also contains 18S and 28S rRNA. The record is from RNAcentral. Lineage: Eukaryota; Fungi; Ascomycota; Leotiomycetes. RNAcentral also lists the same sequence under 1 other name.